AGGAAGCGCUGGGGGGCAGAGGAGCGGAGUUGAGGCAGAAGCCAGUCAGGAUGGUGGUGCCUUCGCUGAAGCUUCAGGACCUCAUCGAAGAGAUUCGCGGGGCCAAGACUCAGGCCCAGGAGCGGGAGGUGAUCCAAAAGGAGUGUGCCCACAUCCGGGCCUCCUUCCGCGACGGGGACCCAGUGCACAGGCACCGGCAGCUGGCCAAACUGCUCUACGUCCACAUGUUGGGCUACCCCGCCCACUUUGGACAGUGACCUGAGCCAGGGGAUUCAGCCAGUACAAGGCCUGGCCUUGUGCACUUUGAGCACCAUGGGCUCUGCUGAGAUGUGCCGAGACCUGGCCCCAGAGGUGGAGAAACUGCUCCUGCAGCCCAGUCCCUACGUGCGCAAGAAGGCUAUUCUGACUGCAGUGCACAUGAUCCGGAAGGUCCCUGAACUCUCCAGUGUCUUCCUCCCACCCUGUGCCCAACUGCUUCAUGAGCGUCACCAUGGUAAGGCUGUGGGGCCCCCCAUCCUUUGCUUCAGGUCUAUGGACAGAAGAAUUGAAAAUCGGAUGGGAACCCCAGCUCACAGGAGAAGGGUAGUGCACACACACAGGCACACACGCAAUAGACUCUCUUGCCCCUGGCCCCCACCAUUCACUUCCCCGACGCUGACCCCAGGCAUCCUGCUGGGCACCAUCACGCUGAUCACGGAGCUCUGCGAACGAAGCCCUGCAGCCCUCAGGCACUUCCGAAAGGUGGGCUGGUGAAGGGGCAGGCCCUGGGCCUGGAAGACAGGGUCAGUGGGGAAGGAAUGGGGCUUUAGCUGGAGAGGAUUAGAACGAAUGCCCAAAGUUGUGCCCUCCCUCCAGGUGGUACCCCAGCUGGUACACAUCCUCCGGACUCUGGUGACAAUGGGAUACUCCACAGAACACAGCAUAUCUGGAGUCAGCGACCCCUUCCUGCAGGUGGGGUGACCUUUCACUGCUGUAUCCCUGGAUCAGAGAGGGCAUAGCAGUAA
RNAcentral lists this long non-coding RNA (1004 nucleotides) under Homo sapiens (human). RNAcentral's name for it is "non-protein coding lnc-JPH4-2:1". Lineage: Eukaryota; Metazoa; Chordata; Mammalia; Primates; Hominidae. The record is from RNAcentral.